ACAGUAUUUUAAUGAUUAAGACCUCAGAAAAGGGAAUGUAGAUUAUGAUGUUCGAGCUUCUCGUGUAUGAAGUCAAGGUCGAGAAAGAUGCAACUUUGCGGUUAACCAUGUUUUCAUGCCCAAAUCGAUGCUUAUUAGUUACACUUGAGGUGGUCUUACCUCUAAGCAACUGCUGUAUCUUACUUGCGAAUAUUAUUAAGGCCUUCUCACAAAUUUGGUGAAAUUAAUGCUGUUUGAUUUUAUGAUAACGUUCUGGUGCAAGGAGUAACUGACGAUUUCUUUUCUAUUCUUCUUGUAGGGUUGAUGUGGUCAUAUUCGUCAUAUGGGAACUUGUCGUUCUUGCCUUCUUAGUGUUUUCGGCCGUGUCUUUGUAUUUCAGGCACAU
Molecule: long non-coding RNA, 385 nt
Filed under: Linum usitatissimum (flax)
Lineage: Eukaryota; Viridiplantae; Streptophyta; Magnoliopsida; Malpighiales; Linaceae
Description: long non-coding RNA (LUSI_LNC002002)
Source: RNAcentral